This 463-nucleotide ribosomal RNA is filed under the name uncultured bacterium. RNAcentral describes it as "partial 16S ribosomal RNA". It matches the Rfam family "Bacterial small subunit ribosomal RNA", at positions 28 to 507 of the family's 1533-position model. The record is from RNAcentral.
GACGAACGCUGGCGGCGUGCUUAACACAUGCAAGUCGAACGGAAAGGCCUUUUCGGAGGUACUCGAGUGGCGAACGGGUGCGUAACACGUGGGUGAUCUGCCCUGCACUCUGGGAUAAGCCUGGGAAACUGGGUCUAAUACCGGAUAGGACCGCACCUUCGUGUGGGUGGUGGAAAGUUUUUUCGGUGUAGGGUGAGCCCGCGGCCUAUCAGCUUGUUGGUGGGGUAAUGGCGUACCAAGGCGGCGGCGGGUAGCCGCACUGAGGGGUUGGUCGGCCACAUUGAGACUGAGAGACGGCACAGGCGCCGACGGGAGGCAGAAGUGGGGAAGAUUGAUCAAGGGGCGCAAGGCUGAUGCAGCGAGGCCGCGGGGGGGAUGACGGCCUUCGGGUUGAAAACUCCUUUCGCCAGGGACGAAGCGUUUUGUGACGGUACCUGGAGAAGAAGCACCGGCUAACUACGUG